UACAGAGGUCUCAAGCGUUGUUCGGAUUCAUUGGGCGUAAAGCGUCUGUAGGUGGCUUUUCAAGUCCGCCGUCAAAUCCCAGGGCUCAACCCUGGACAGGCGGUGGAAACUACCAAGCUGGAGUACGGUAGGGGCAGAGGGAAUUUCCGGUGGAGCGGUGAAAUGCAUUGAGAUCGGAAGGAACACCAACGGCGAAAGCACUCUGCUGGGCCGACACUGACACUGAGAGACGAAAGCUAGGGGAGCAAAUGGG
Molecule: ribosomal RNA, 253 nt
Filed under: uncultured bacterium
Lineage: Bacteria
Description: partial 16S ribosomal RNA
Rfam family: Bacterial small subunit ribosomal RNA
Source: RNAcentral